This 487-nucleotide ribosomal RNA is filed under the name Streptococcus anginosus. RNAcentral's name for it is "bacterial SSU rRNA". It matches the Rfam family "Bacterial small subunit ribosomal RNA", at positions 28 to 490 of the family's 1533-position model. The record is from RNAcentral. Lineage: Bacteria; Bacillati; Bacillota; Bacilli; Lactobacillales; Streptococcaceae.
GACGAACGCUGGCGGCGUGCCUAAUACAUGCAAGUAGGACGCACAGUUUAUACCGUAGCUUGCUACACCAUAGACUGUGAGUUGCGAACGGGUGAGUAACGCGUAGGUAACCUGCCUAUUAGAGGGGGAUAACUAUUGGAAACGAUAGCUAAUACCGCAUAACAGUAUGUAACACAUGUUAGAUGCUUGAAAGAUGCAAUUGCAUCGCUAGUAGAUGGACCUGCGUUGUAUUAGCUAGUAGGUAGGGUAAAGGCCUACCUAGGCAACGAUACAUAGCCGACCUGAGAGGGUGAUCGGCCACACUGGGACUGAGACACGGCCCAGACUCCUACGGGAGGCAGCAGUAGGGAAUCUUCGGCAAUGGGGGGAACCCUGACCGAGCAACGCCGCGUGAGUGAAGAAGGUUUUCGGAUCGUAAAGCUCUGUUGUUAAGGAAGAACGAGUGUGAGAAUGGAAAGUUCAUACUGUGACGGUACUUACCAGAAAG